UACGUAGGGGGCAAGCGUUGUCCGGAUUCACUGGGUGUAAAGGGCGCGUAGGCGGGUUAGCAAGUCAGAGGUGAAAUCUCCCGGCUCAACCGGGAAACUGCCUUUGAAACUGUUAAUCUUGAGUGCGGAAGAGAGAGACGGAAGUCCAGGUGUAGCGGUGAAAGGCGUAGAUAGCUGGAGGAACACCGGUUGCGAAGGCGGUCUCUUGGUCCGGAACUGACGCGCAGGCGCGAAAGCGGGGGUCGCAAACAGGAUUCGAUACCACGGGAGUCC
Molecule: ribosomal RNA, 273 nt
Filed under: uncultured bacterium
Lineage: Bacteria
Description: partial 16S ribosomal RNA
Rfam family: Bacterial small subunit ribosomal RNA
Source: RNAcentral